AGUCGUACGGACAUCUUUUUCUAGCAAUAGAGUUUGAUGUUAGUGGCAAACGGGAGAGGAACACAUUGGCAACCUGCCUUCAAGACGGGCAUAACUCCGAGAAAUCGGAGCUAAUACCACGAUAGACAUGGGGGGACAUAAGUCAUUCCCAUGUAAAUCCCUUCGGGGGCUUGAAGAGGGGCCUAUGGCCUAUCAGCUUGUUGGUGAGGUAAAAGCUCACCAAGGCUAUGACGGGUAUGGGGUGUGAGAGCAUGACCCCACUCACUGGGACUGAGACACUGCCCAGACACCUACGGGUGGCUGCAGUCAAGAAUAUUCCGCAACGGGCGAAAGCCUGACGGAGCGACGCCGCGUGCAGGAUGAAGGGUUUCGGCUCGUAAACUGCUUUUCUCAGGGAAGAAUCUAUGACGGUACCUGAGGAAUAAGAGGUUGCUAACUCUGUGCCAGCAGCAGCGGUGAUACAGAGACCUCAAGCGUUAUCCGGAUUUAUUGGGCGUAAAGGGUCCGCAGGCGGCCUUGCGCGUCACUGGUUAAAUCUUCGGGCUCAACCCGAGGGCUGCUAGUGAUACGGCAAGGCUAGAGACUGGGAGAGGUGUGCGGAAUUACUGGUGUAGGGGUCAUAUCCGUUAAUAUCAGUAAGAACACCAAAUGCGAAGGCAGCACACUGGAACAUGUCUGACGCUCAGGGACGAAAGCGUGGGGAGCGAAAGGGAUUAGAUACCCCUGUAGUCCACGCCCUAAACGAUGAAUGCUGGGUAUUCGGAGUAUCGACCCUCCGAGUGCCGAUGACCAAAGCUAACGCGCUAAGCAUUCC
RNAcentral lists this ribosomal RNA (814 nucleotides) under uncultured marine bacterium. RNAcentral describes it as "bacterial SSU rRNA". It matches the Rfam family "Bacterial small subunit ribosomal RNA", at positions 60 to 870 of the family's 1533-position model. The record is from RNAcentral.